AGCUCAGUUCCCACCUCCUGGGUGGGUGGUUGAGCACUGUGAUGGGGGGAAGUGGCUGACUGUGUGUCUCAUUGGCUGGCUGCUUCCUGAUGGGGCUGCAUCAAGUCUCCCAUUUCCACUUUGGCUAAGAGUUUGCUGAGGGCCACCAGUUUGCAACUUCUGCCUGAAAGGAAAGUAGAACUUGGCUGGAAGACAGAAUUAUGAAGAGACCAGAUAUAGAGUGAGAAAGAAAAAAAAAAGUACAUCCUUUGGGCUGAGCUAUUUCUAGCAUGAAAACAGGCCAACUUAUUUUUUAUUUAUUUUAUCUCCUAAUUGAUUCCAUAUUAUCAGCCCCUGGACCUUCUCAAAGCUGCCAUGUUUUCCACACUUGAGUAGGAGAUUUGUCCUCAGGCACAGAAUUUCUGGGCCAGUUCUUGCUAAAAUGUCACAGUUUUCAUAGUUAUAAUUCAUCACACUCAAGCACCCAUGGAAACAAUUGUCCACAACAUGAACUCAGAGAUCCAAAGUAAAAAUGUUUUUCUCUGCCAUAAUAAACAUCUCCUUGUGGAACUGAAGAUUAAAGGGAGACAUUUAUUUUACUAGGCUAUUGACUUUACUAUGGGGUACCUGAAAUUCCCAGGGUGACUCACAAAGAAGUGACAGUGAUAUGUUUGUGUCUCUUUAAAUAUGUACCAUUGUGAGUGUCAAGCUGCAAAGAUAAAUCUUUCUGAGGAAUAAUAGGAGACUUUCUGCUCUGGAAAUGAAUGGGCCUCUGGAUGGCUAUUUCCCAGGCUCCAAAUAUAAGGGCAGUUUUUGUCCACCCAUUCCUUCUCUGGCAUACAGAUGUGCCAGUGCCUCUGCUGUACUGCUGCUCCUCUCUUUCCUCCCGCAGUCCCACUGACCACACAAUCUCAGGCUCAUCACUGCAUUUAGCAAUCAUAGCAUCCGCUUUCAAAUUGGUCUCUGUCUCCAAUGUCUCCCAAUUCAAAUUAAUUCCGCA
RNAcentral lists this long non-coding RNA (979 nucleotides) under Homo sapiens (human). RNAcentral's name for it is "HSALNT0305642". The record is from RNAcentral. Lineage: Eukaryota; Metazoa; Chordata; Mammalia; Primates; Hominidae.